UCCUGGUUAGUUCAGUUGCAAGAGCGCUUCACUGGAAAUGCAGGAAUCCCUGGUUCGAUGCCAAGACCAGGCG
This 73-nucleotide transfer RNA is filed under the name Ixodes scapularis (black-legged tick). It matches the Rfam family "tRNA". Rfam says of the family: Transfer RNA (tRNA) molecules are approximately 80 nucleotides in length. Their secondary structure includes four short double-helical elements and three loops (D, anti-codon, and T loops). The record is from Rfam by way of RNAcentral. Lineage: Eukaryota; Metazoa; Arthropoda; Arachnida; Ixodida; Ixodidae.